GACGAACGCUGGCGGCGUGCUUAACACAUGCAAGUCGAACGGAAAGGCCCUGCUUUGGUGGGGUGCUCGAGUGGCGAACGGGUGAGUAACACGUGAGUAACCUGCCCUUGACUUUGGGAUAACUUCAGGAAACUGGGGCUAAUACCGGAUAGGAGCUCCUGCUGCAUGGUGGGGGUUGGAAAGUUUCGGCGGUUGGGGAUGGACUCGCGGCUUAUCAGCUUGUUGGUGGGGUAGUGGCUUGCCAAGGCUUUGACGGGUAGCCGGCCUGAGAGGGUGACCGGCCACAUUGGGACUGAGCUACGGCCCAGACUCCUACGGGAGGCAGCAGUGCGGAAUAUUGCACAAUGGGCGGAAGCCUGAUGCAGCAACGCCGCGUGCGGGAUGACGGCCUUCGGGUUGUAUACCGCUUUCGCCUGUGACGAAGCGUGAGUGACGGUAAUGGGUAAAGAAGCACCGGCUAACUACGUG
Molecule: ribosomal RNA, 468 nt
Filed under: uncultured bacterium
Lineage: Bacteria
Description: partial 16S ribosomal RNA
Rfam family: Bacterial small subunit ribosomal RNA
Source: RNAcentral